UGGCUCAGGAUGAACGCUAGCGGCAGGCUUAACACAUGCAAGUCGAGGGGCAGCGGGGAGGAAGCUUGCUUUCUCCGCCGGCGACCGGCGCACGGGUGAGUAACACGUAUGCAACCUGCCCCUGUCAGGGGGACAACCCGCCGAAAGGCGGGCUAAACCCGCGUACAUGCCACCGGGGCAUCCCGGAGGCAGGAAAGGCUUCGGCCGGACAGGGAUGGGCAUGCGGCGCAUUAGGCAGUAGGCGGGGUAACGGCCCACCUAACCGACGAUGCGUAGGGGUUCUGAGAGGAAGGUCCCCCACACUGGUACUGAGACACGGACCAGACUCCUACGGGAGGCAGCAGUGAGGAAUAUUGGUCAAUGGUCGGGAGACUGAACCAGCCAAGCCGCGUGAGGGAUGAAGGUACAGAGUAUCGUAAACCUCUUUUGUCAGGGAACAAAGGCGGGGACGUGUCCCCGGAUGAGUGUACCUGAAGAAAAAGCAUCGGCUAACUCCGUGCCAGCAGCCGCGGUAAUACGGAGGAUGCAAGCGUUAUCCGGAUUUAUUGGGUUUAAAGGGUGCGCAGGCGGUCUGUUAAGUCAGCGGUCAAAGCCCGGGGCUCAACCCCGGCCCGCCGUUGAAACUGGCAGUCUCGAGUUGGAGAGAAGUAUGCGGAAUGCGCGGUGUAGCGGUGAAAUGCAUAGAUAUCGCGCAGAACUCCGAUUGCGAAGGCAGCAUGCCGGCUCCACACUGACGCUGAGGCACGAAAGCGUGGGUAUCGAACAGGAUUAGAUACCCUGGUAGUCCACGCAGUAAACGAUGAAUGCUGGCUGUCCGGGGGGACUGACCCCUGGGUGGCGAAGCGAAAGCGAUAAGCAUUCCACCUGGGGAGUACGCCGGCAACGGUGAAACUCAAAGGAAUUGACGGGGGCCCGCACAAGCGGAGGAACAUGUGGUUUAAUUCGAUGAUACGCGAGGAACCUUACCCGGGCUCAAACGGGGAGUGACUCAGGCAGAGACGCCUGUUUCCCACGGGACACUCCCCGAGGUGCUGCAUGGUUGUCGUCAGCUCGUGCCGUGAGGUGUCGGCUUAAGUGCCAUAACGAGCGCAACCCCCGCGUGCAGUUGCUAACAGUCAACGCUGAGGACUCUGCACGGACUGCCGGCGCAAGCCGCGAGGAAGGCGGGGAUGACGUCAAAUCAGCACGGCCCUUACGUCCGGGGCGACACACGUGUUACAAUGGGUGGUACAGCGGGAAGCCAGGCGGCGACGCCGAGCGGAACCCGAAAUCCACUCUCAGUUCGGAUCGGAGUCUGCAACCCGACUCCGUGAAGCUGGAUUCGCUAGUAAUCGCGCAUCAGCCAUGGCGCGGUGAAUACGUUCCCGGGUCUUGUACACACCGCCCGUCAAGCCAUGGGAGCCGAGGGCGCUUGAAGUGCGUCGCCGCGAGGCGCGCCCUAGAGCGAAAUCGGUGACUGGGGCUAAGUCGUAACAAGG
Molecule: ribosomal RNA, 1478 nt
Filed under: uncultured bacterium
Lineage: Bacteria
Description: 16S ribosomal RNA
Rfam family: Bacterial small subunit ribosomal RNA
Source: RNAcentral